This 464-nucleotide ribosomal RNA is filed under the name uncultured bacterium. RNAcentral's name for it is "bacterial SSU rRNA". It matches the Rfam family "Bacterial small subunit ribosomal RNA", at positions 330 to 792 of the family's 1533-position model. The record is from RNAcentral.
CCCAGACUCCUACGGGAGGCAGCAGUGAGGAAUAUUGGUCAAUGGACGAGAGUCUGAACCAGCCAAGUAGCGUGAAGGAUGACUGCCCUAUGGGUUGUAAACUUCUUUUAUAUGGGAAUAAAACGUUCCACGUGUGGGAUUUUGUAUGUACCAUAUGAAUAAGGAUCGGCUAACUCCGUGCCAGCAGCCGCGGUAAUACGGAGGAUCCGAGCGUUAUCCGGAUUUAUUGGGUUUAAAGGGUGCGUAGGCGGGCUUUUAAGUCAGCGGUAAAAAUUCGGGGCUCAACCCCGUCCGGCCGUUGAAACUGGGGGCCUUGAGUGGGCGAGAAGAAGGCGGAAUGCGUGGUGUAGCGGUGAAAUGCAUAGAUAUCGCGCAGAACUCCGAUUGCGAAGGCAGCAUGCCGGCUCCACACUGACGCUGAGGCACGAAAGCGUGGGUAUCGAACAGGAUUAGAUACCCCCGUA